GAUAUACUCCCUUUGUCCGAAAAUACUUGUCAUCAAAAUGGAUAAAGAAGAAUGUAUCAAGAACUAAAAUAUGUCUUGAUACAUCUUUAUUUAUUUAUUUUGAUGACAAGUAUUUCCGAACGGACGAAGUACAUA
Molecule: non-coding RNA, 135 nt
Organism: Triticum urartu
Lineage: Eukaryota; Viridiplantae; Streptophyta; Magnoliopsida; Poales; Poaceae
Source: Rfam